RNAcentral lists this ribosomal RNA (316 nucleotides) under uncultured Actinomycetes bacterium. RNAcentral describes it as "uncultured actinobacterium partial 16S ribosomal RNA". It matches the Rfam family "Bacterial small subunit ribosomal RNA", at positions 335 to 663 of the family's 1533-position model. The record is from RNAcentral. Lineage: Bacteria; Bacillati; Actinomycetota; Actinomycetes.
ACUCCUACGGGAGGCAGCAGUGGGGAAUAUUGNACAAUGGGCGGAAGCCUGAUCCAGCAACGCCGCGUGAGGGAUGACGGCCUUCGGGUUGUAAACCUCUUUCAACNNNGACGAAGNGNNANUGACGGUACCCGNAGAAGAAGCACCGGCCAACUACGUGCCAGCAGCCGCGGUAAUACGUAGGGUGCGAGCGUUGUCCGGAAUUAUUGGGCGUAAAGGGCUCGUAGGCGGUUUGUCGCGUCGGGAGUGAAAACCAUGGGCUUAACUAAUGGCUUGCUUCCGAUACGGGCAUACUAGAAGUAUGCAGGGGAAAACU